RNAcentral lists this ribosomal RNA (447 nucleotides) under uncultured bacterium. Its description in RNAcentral is "bacterial SSU rRNA". It matches the Rfam family "Bacterial small subunit ribosomal RNA", at positions 329 to 792 of the family's 1533-position model. The record is from RNAcentral.
GUCCAGACUCCUACGGGAGGCAGCAGUGGGGGAUAUUGCACAAUGGGGGGAACCCUGAUGCAGCGACGCCGCGUGGGUGAAGGAGUAUUUCGGUAUGUAAAGCCCUAUCGGCAGGGAAGAAGGAGGACGGUACCUGACUAAGAAGCCCCGGCUCACUACGUGCCAGCAGCCGCGGGAAUACGUAGGGGGCAAGCGUUAUCCGGAUUUACUGGGUGAAAAGGGGGCGCAGACGGCAGCGCAAGCCAGGAGUGAAAGCCCGGGGCCCAACCCCGGGACUGCUCUUGGAACUGCGCGGCUGGAGUGCAGGAGGGGCAGGCGGAAUUCCUGGUGUAGCGGUGAAAUGCGUAGAUAUCAGGAGGAACACCGGUGGCGAAGGCGGCCUGCUGGACUGCGACUGACGUUGAGGCCCGAAAGCGUGGGGAGCAAACAGGAUUAGAUACCCCCGUA